GACGAACGCUGGCGGCGCGCUUAACACAUGCAAGUCGAACGGAAAGGCCUGCUUUCCCUUGUGGAUUGCGGGUACUCGAGUGGCGAACGGGUGAGUAACACGUGAGUGAUCUGCCCCCAACUUGGGUAUAAGCCUGGGAAACUGGGUCUAAUUCCCGAUAGGACUGCAGGGUGGUGCCUGUGGUGGAAAACGAUUUUCUAGUGGUUGGGGAUGAGCUCGCGGCCUAUCAGCUUGUUGGUGGGGUAAUGGCCUACCAAGGCGGCGACGGGUAGCCGGCCGGAGAGGGUGGACGGCCGCAUUGGGACUGAGAUACGGCCCAGACUCCUACGGGAGGCAGCAGUGGGGAAUAUUGCACAAUGAGCGGAAGCCUGAUGCAGCGACGCCGCGUGGGGGAUGACGGCCUUCGGGUUGUAAACUCCUUUCGACCGCGAGGAAGCCACCUGGUUGGAAGGGUGGUGACGGUAGUGGUAGAAGAAGCACCGGCUAACUACGUG
This 494-nucleotide ribosomal RNA is filed under the name uncultured bacterium. RNAcentral's name for it is "partial 16S ribosomal RNA". It matches the Rfam family "Bacterial small subunit ribosomal RNA", at positions 28 to 507 of the family's 1533-position model. The record is from RNAcentral.